GGGUUGCUAGCUCAGUCGGUAGAGCACUUGACUUUUAAUCAAGGGGUCCGGAGUUCGAGCCUCCGGCAAGCCACCA
RNAcentral lists this transfer RNA (76 nucleotides) under Clostridia bacterium. RNAcentral describes it as "tRNA-Lys". It matches the Rfam family "tRNA". From Rfam's summary of the family: Transfer RNA (tRNA) molecules are approximately 80 nucleotides in length. Their secondary structure includes four short double-helical elements and three loops (D, anti-codon, and T loops). The record is from RNAcentral. Lineage: Bacteria; Bacillati; Bacillota; Clostridia.